GGCGGAGGAGAAAGGUGAGAGAAUUGGCGAAAAAUCGUGGCGCUAUCGCAAACCAUUUAAGCACAACUAGAAAGAUCGCCAAACCGGAAGAUAACAAAAUCAGAGGUUUAGUUAUGUAUAGAUAAAGAUAA
This is a long non-coding RNA of Amblyraja radiata (thorny skate), 131 nucleotides long. RefSeq lists it as uncharacterized. Lineage: Eukaryota; Metazoa; Chordata; Chondrichthyes; Rajiformes; Rajidae. The record is from RefSeq and is a predicted model, not a curated record. The transcript is spliced from 3 exons.